AUGUGUUUAUUGUCCAAAAGAGAUGAGAAACAAGAUCAUUCUUCAGCACACUCAUCGUUUGGAGAUAUGUUGAAGAGUAUUGGUGCCCCUCUCAAGGACAGAAGGAUGCUUCUUUUAAUUCCUCUUAUGGCAUAUUCAGGGUUACAACAGGCAUUUGUAUGGGCUGUAUUCACAAAGAGUAUUGUGACACCGGUGCUUGGCCUAUCUGGAAUCGGCGGCGCCAUGGCAGUAUAUGGUGUAGCUGAUGUAGUUUGUUCAUUGGUUGCUGGACGUUUUACCUCUGGGCUUCAGUCAGCUACGUUUAUAGUGUCAGUGGGAGCUAUUCUUCAGGCUGCUGUCCUCUUCUGGCUGCUUCUCUUUCACCGCCCAAUGGGCGGAUUACUUGGCGCAGCGGCUCCACUAUUGAUAGGUGCCUUAUGGGGUGUUGGUAACGGAGUCCUGAACACACAGCUAAGCGCUUUACUUGGGCUGCUCUUCGAGGAUGUCAAGGGUCUGGCAAUCAGCUGCCAUGGCAGUCAUCUUCUUCCUCAGCCAAGUCAUCAAACUGCAAGCCAUGCUUAUCUUGAUGUCCACGUCGCUCGUCGUCUCUUUUGGCUCGUUCCUGACACUCACCCUUGUUGUCGACAAGUCAUCAUCAACUAUCGGAUUGUGAGGUUAUUAUUUCUUUUUUUUAGGAACUGA
This 681-nucleotide ribosomal RNA is filed under the name Triticum aestivum (bread wheat). RNAcentral describes it as "partial small subunit ribosomal RNA". The record is from RNAcentral. Lineage: Eukaryota; Viridiplantae; Streptophyta; Magnoliopsida; Poales; Poaceae.